Molecule: ribosomal RNA, 230 nt
Filed under: uncultured bacterium
Lineage: Bacteria
Description: partial 16S ribosomal RNA
Rfam family: Bacterial small subunit ribosomal RNA
Source: RNAcentral
UGAGCAAUCUGCCCUUCUCAUCGGAAUAAGCGUUGGAAACGACGUCUAAUGCCGAAUACGACCUCCUUUCGCAUGAUCGGAGGUGGAAAGCUCCGGCGGAGAAGGAUGAGCUCGCGGCCUAUCAGCUUGUUGGUGAGGUAAUGGCUCACCAAGGCGACGACGGGUAGCCGGCCUGAGAGGGUGACCGGCCACACUGGGACUGAGACACGGCCCAGACUCCCGUAGGGAGG